AUGAACGCUGGCGGCUUGCCUAACACAUGCAAGUCGAGCGGCAGCGAGGGGUGCUUGCACCCUGUCGGCGCGCGGCGGACGGCUGAGUAACGCGUGGGAACGUGCCCCAAAGUGAGGAAUAACUGCCCGAAAGGGUAGCUAAUACCGCAUAUUAUCUUCGGAUCAAAGGAUUUAUCCGCUUUGGGAGCGGCUCGCGUCGGAUUAGGUAGUUGGUGAGGUAAUGGCUCACCAAGCCGACGAUCCGUAGCUGGUCUGAGAGGAUGACCAGCCAGACUGGAACUGAGACACGGUCCAGACUCCUACGGGAGGCAGCAGUGAGGAAUCUUCCACAAUGGGCGAAAGCCUGAUGGAGCAACGCCGCGUGCAGGACGAAGGCCUUCGGGUUGUAAACUGCUUUUAUAAGUGAGGAAUAUGACGGUAACUGAUGAAUAAGGAUCGGCUAACUACGUG
This 450-nucleotide ribosomal RNA is filed under the name uncultured bacterium. RNAcentral's name for it is "partial 16S ribosomal RNA". It matches the Rfam family "Bacterial small subunit ribosomal RNA", at positions 29 to 507 of the family's 1533-position model. The record is from RNAcentral.